AGAGCGACCGGUGCUUGCACUGGUCAAUCUAGUGGCGAACGGGUGAGUAACACGUGGGUAACCUGCCCAUCAGAGGGGGAUAACAUCCGGAAACGGAUGCUAAACCCGCAUAGGUCUUCGAACCGCAUGGUUUGAAGAGGAAAAGAGGCGCAAGCUUCUGCUGAUGGAUGGACCCGCGGUGCAUUAGCUAGUUGGUGAGGUAACGGCUCACCAAGGCCGUGAUGCAUAGCCGACCUGAGAGGGUGAUCGGCCACAUUGGGACUGAGACACGGCCCAAACUCCUACGGGAGGCAGCAGUAGGGAAUCUUCCGCAAUGGACGCAAGUCUGACGGAGCAACGCCGCGUGAGUGAAGAAGGUUUUCGGAUCGUAAAACUCUGUUGUUAGAGAAGAACAAGUGCUAGAGUAACUGUUAGCGCCUUGACGGUAUCUAACCAGAAAGCCCGGC
This 446-nucleotide ribosomal RNA is filed under the name Granulicatella adiacens. RNAcentral's name for it is "bacterial SSU rRNA". It matches the Rfam family "Bacterial small subunit ribosomal RNA", at positions 68 to 496 of the family's 1533-position model. The record is from RNAcentral. Lineage: Bacteria; Bacillati; Bacillota; Bacilli; Lactobacillales; Carnobacteriaceae.